CCGGGCGCCCCGGGCUCCCGCCUGCGCGAGCAUCCCGGGGACCUGGAGCGGGGGCGGUGUCGGGGCCUCUCAGAGACUCUCAGGGGAGCACCGGGCUUGGCGGUCUCCCCGGAUCCCUUGACGGAAGGGGAGAUUGGCUCCAGCCUCAGAGAGGGCUGCAGAACCCUGGAUGGAUGGGAAGUCUGGAGUCUCCAGGAUUCAUGGAUGGGAAACCCUACUUGGCUGUGCUUCCUGCUAACACGAGGCCCUGCGAUUGCUGAGAACAACAGCCCCGAGACUGCGCGGCUCCGGGGGGAAAAAAACCUGGCCCCCUUUCAAGCCUUGACAGAAAACCUUUCAGAGCCCUGAACUCCCACCAGCCCGAGGACGGCUCCGAUAGCUCUGACAAAUGAGCCGGGACUGUGCCCAGGGCUCCCAGGCUGGGAGGGGACCCCGGCUCCCUUGUUCCUUCCUAAGGUCGGAAAAAAAAGCGCGUGUCCCUUCCUCCACCACAGAGGAACAGAGAAGUGUUUGCAUUGGUGGAUUUUUAAAUACUUGUUUAUUUUUAUUAAAGUGCAAUUCACAUGAAAUU
Long non-coding RNA from Homo sapiens (human), 571 nucleotides. Ensembl annotates it as KLF2 divergent transcript. Its record names the gene KLF2-DT. The record is from Ensembl. Lineage: Eukaryota; Metazoa; Chordata; Mammalia; Primates; Hominidae.